AGUGUUGAAGAUGAAGCUGUAGAUAAAAACAUUUUCAGAGACUGUAACAAGAUCGCAUUUUACAGGCGUCAGAAACAGUGGCUUUCCAAGAAGUCCACCUAUCAGGCAUUACUGGACUCAGUCACAACAGAUGAAGACAGCACCAGGUUCCAAAUCAUCAAUGAAGCAAGUAAGGUUCCUCUCCUGGCUGAAAUUUAUGGUAUAGAAGGAAACAUUUUCAGGCUUAAAAUUAAUGAAGAGACUCCUCUAAAACCCAGAUUUGAAGUUCCUGAUGUCCUCACAAGCAAGCCAAGCACUGUAAGGCUGAUUUCAUGCUCUGGGGACACAGGCAGUCUGAUAUUGGCAGAUGGAAAAGGAGACCUGAAGUGCCAUAUCACAGCAAACCCAUUCAAGGUAGACUUGGUGUCUGAAGAAGAGGUUGUGAUUAGCAUAAAUUCCCUGGGCCAAUUAUACUUUGAGCAUCUACAGAUUCUUCACAAACAAAGAGCUGCUAAAGAAAAUGAGGAGGAGACAUCAGUGGACACCUCUCAGGAAAAUCAAGAAGAUCUGGGCCUGUGGGAAGAGAAAUUUGGAAAAUUUGUGGAUAUCAAAGCUAAUGGCCCUUCUUCUAUUGGUUUGGAUUUCUCCUUGCAUGGAUUUGAGCAUCUUUAUGGGAUCCCACAACAUGCAGAAUCACACCAACUUAAAAAUACUGGUGAUGGAGAUGCUUACCGUCUUUAUAACCUGGAUGUCUAUGGAUACCAAAUAUAUGAUAAAAUGGGCAUUUAUGGUUCAGUACCUUAUCUCCUGGCCCACAAACUGGGCAGAACUAUAGGUAUUUUCUGGCUGAAUGCCUCGGAAACACUGGUGGAGAUCAAUACAGAGCCUGCAGUAGAGUACACACUGACCCAGAUGGGCCCAGUUGCUGCUAAACAAAAGGUCAGAUCUCGCACUCAUGUGCACUGGAUGUCAGAGAGUGGCAUCAUUGAUGUUUUUCUGCUGACAGGACCUACACCUUCUGAUGUCUUCAAACAGUACUCACACCUUACAGGCACACAAGCCAUGCCCCCUCUUUUCUCUUUGGGAUACCACCAGUGCCGCUGGAACUAUGAAGAUGAGCAGGAUGUAAAAGCAGUGGAUGCAGGGUUUGAUGAGCAUGACAUUCCUUAUGAUGCCAUGUGGCUGGACAUAGAGCACACUGAGGGCAAGAGGUACUUCACCUGGGACAAAAACAGAUUCCCAAAGCCCAAGAGGAUGCAAGAGCUGCUCAGGAGCAAAAAGCGUAAGCUUGUGGUCAUCAGUGAUCCCCACAUCAAGAUUGAUCCUGACUACUCAGUAUAUGUGAAGGCCAAAGAUCAGGGCUUCUUUGUGAAGAAUCAGGAAGGGGAAGACUUUGAAGGGGUGUGUUGGCCAGGUCUCUCCUCUUACCUGGAUUUCACCAAUCCCAAGGUCAGAGAGUGGUAUUCAAGUCUUUUUGCUUUCCCUGUUUAUCAGGUUGGUUUUUAUUCCUUUGUUCUUUUCUAGUUACCUGAAAGAGUGAAAGAAGU
RNAcentral lists this small RNA (1526 nucleotides) under Pan troglodytes (chimpanzee). RNAcentral's name for it is "retained intron". Lineage: Eukaryota; Metazoa; Chordata; Mammalia; Primates; Hominidae. The record is from RNAcentral.